This 1182-nucleotide ribosomal RNA is filed under the name Streptomyces geysiriensis. RNAcentral describes it as "bacterial SSU rRNA". It matches the Rfam family "Bacterial small subunit ribosomal RNA", at positions 240 to 1425 of the family's 1533-position model. The record is from RNAcentral. Lineage: Bacteria; Bacillati; Actinomycetota; Actinomycetes; Kitasatosporales; Streptomycetaceae.
AUCAGCUUGUUGGUGAGGUAACGGCUCACCAAGGGGACGACGGGAUACCGGCCUGAGAGGGCGACCGGCCACACUGGGACUGAGACACGGCCCAGACUCCUACGGGAGGCAGCAGUGGGGAAUAUUGCACAAUGGGCGAAAGCCUGAUGCAGCGACGCCGCGUGAGGGAUGACGGCCUUCGGGUUGUAAACCUCUUUCAGCAGGGAAGAAGCGAAAGUGACGGUACCUGCAGAAGAAGCGCCGGCUAACUACGUGCCAGCAGCCGCGGUAAUACGUAGGGCGCGAGCGUUGUCCGGAAUUAUUGGGCGUAAAGAGCUCGUAGGCGGCUUGUCACGUCGGUUGUGAAAGCCCGGGGCUUAACCCCGGGUCUGCAGUCGAUACGGGCAGGCUAGAGUUCGGUAGGGGAGAUCGGAAUUCCUGGUGUAGCGGUGAAAUGCGCAGAUAUCAGGAGGAACACCGGUGGCGAAGGCGGAUCUCUGGGCCGAUACUGACGCUGAAGAGCGAAAGCGUGGGGAGCGAACAGGAUUAGAUACCCUGGUAGUCCACGCCGUAAACGGUGGGCACUAUGUGUGGGCAACAUUCCACGUUGUCCGUGCCGCAGCUAACGCAUUAAGUGCCCCGCCCUGGGGGAGUACGGCCGCAAGGCUAAAACUCACGGAAUUUGACGGGGGCCCGCACAAGCGGCGGAGCAUGUGGCUUAAUUCGACGCAACGCGAAGAACCUUACCAAGGCUUGACAUACACCGGAAAACCCUGGAGACAGGGUCCCCCUUGUGGUCGGUGUACAGGUGGUGCAUGGCUGUCGUCAGCUCGUGUCGUGAGAUGUUGGGUUAAGUCCCGCAACGAGCGCAACCCUUGUCCCGUGUUGCCAGCAGGCCCUUGUGGUGCUGGGGACUCACGGGAGACCGCCGGGGUCAACUCGGAGGAAGGUGGGGACGACGUCAAGUCAUCAUGCCCCUUAUGUCUUGGGCUGCACACGUGCUACAAUGGCCGGUACAAUGAGCUGCGAUACCGCGAGGUGGAGCGAAUCUCAAAAAGCCGGUCUCAGUUCGGAUUGGGGUCUGCAACUCGACCCCAUGAAGUCGGAGUCGCUAGUAAUCGCAGAUCAGCAUUGCUGCGGUGAAUACGUUCCCGGGCCUUGUACACACCGCCCGUCACGUCACGAAAGUCGGUAACACCCGAA